RNAcentral lists this long non-coding RNA (228 nucleotides) under Elaeis guineensis (African oil palm). Its description in RNAcentral is "long non-coding RNA (EGUI_LNC038306)". Lineage: Eukaryota; Viridiplantae; Streptophyta; Magnoliopsida; Arecales; Arecaceae. The record is from RNAcentral.
UUGCAGUAGAAUAACAAAUAGAUUAAACCCUUUAACUCCACAUACAUAAGAUCAAAUAUAGUCCUACUCAAGCCUAGGAGAAAAACAAACAUCUAAUCUAAAAUUUAAAAAUAAGUAUGAGAUCGAAUCUCAAUGCCUUAGCACGGGUGGAUAUUCACUGCUAUCGAUGAUCAUGGAUUUAUAGAUAUUCAAGCCACACACAUGUCUGACCUCUAUGGAUAUCCAUCG